RNAcentral lists this ribosomal RNA (426 nucleotides) under uncultured bacterium. Its description in RNAcentral is "bacterial SSU rRNA". It matches the Rfam family "Bacterial small subunit ribosomal RNA", at positions 359 to 776 of the family's 1533-position model. The record is from RNAcentral.
GAAUAUUGCGCAAUGGGCGAAAGCCUGACGCAGCAACGCCGCGUGGAGGAUGAAGGCCUUCGGGUCGUAAACUUCUGUCAGGAGGGAAGAAGGCUGUCGGUCGAAUAAGCCGGUCAGCUUGACGGUACCUCCCCAGGACGCCCCGGCUAACUCCGUGCCCGCAGCCGCGGUAAUACGGAGGGGGCAAGCGUUAUUCGGAAUUAUUGGGCGUAAAGGGCGCGUAGGCGGCUUGGCAAGUCGAAGGUGAAAUCCCCCGGCUCAACUGGGGAACUGCCUUCGAAACUGCCAGGCUAGAGUCCGGGAGAGGGUAGUGGAAUUCCCAGUGUAGCGGUGAAAUGCGUAGAUACUGGGAGGAACACCAGUGGCGAAGGCGGCUACCUGGACAGGUACUGACGCUGAGGCGCGAAAGCGUGGGGAGCAAACAGG